This 327-nucleotide ribosomal RNA is filed under the name uncultured eukaryote. Its description in RNAcentral is "partial 18S ribosomal RNA". It matches the Rfam family "Eukaryotic small subunit ribosomal RNA", at positions 1470 to 1796 of the family's 1831-position model. The record is from RNAcentral.
CCCUUAGAUGUUCUGGGCCGCACACGCGCUACACUGAAGGAGGCAGCGUGUACUCCUGGAUCGAAAGAUUUGGGUAACCCGCGAAUCUCCUUCGUGCUAGGGAUUGAGGUUUGCAAUUAUCCUUCAUGAACGAGGAAUUCCCAGUAAGUGCAAGUCAUAAGCUUGCGCUGACUACGUCCCUGCCCUUUGUACACACCGCCCGUCGCUACUACCGAUUGAAUGAUUUAGUGAGGACUUCGGACUGGGACCGAUGCGGCUUUCGGGCUGCGUCGGUAUUCUGGAAAGAUGUCCAAACUGUNUNAUUUACNGGAAGUAAAANUCGUANCA